CAACACCUCUGUACCCAAAGACUUUCCGGAACUGUGGCAGACCCUGCUUCCUACAGUGGCAGGCCAGUGACUCUCAGGCGUUGUCACAUUGGUCUCUUUGCUGUUCUUCAAACAAGUCCGGCAAGUUCUCAUUAAGGUUUUUUUAAACCCCCAGCAAUGAAUAAGAAAACAACCACCUGGCCAAGCUCAGUGGUUUAACCCAUAAUCCCAGGCUUUGGGAGGCUGAAGUGAGUGGAUUGCCUGAGCCCGCGCGUUCGAGACCUGC
Long non-coding RNA from Carlito syrichta (Philippine tarsier), 265 nucleotides. RefSeq lists it as uncharacterized. The record is from RefSeq and is a predicted model, not a curated record. NCBI's taxonomy places the organism in Eukaryota, Metazoa, Chordata, Mammalia, Primates, Tarsiidae. The transcript has 3 exons.